Molecule: transfer RNA, 73 nt
Filed under: Loxodonta africana (African savanna elephant)
Lineage: Eukaryota; Metazoa; Chordata; Mammalia; Proboscidea; Elephantidae
Rfam family: tRNA
About the family: Transfer RNA (tRNA) molecules are approximately 80 nucleotides in length. Their secondary structure includes four short double-helical elements and three loops (D, anti-codon, and T loops).
Source: Rfam by way of RNAcentral
UCCUAGGUGGUGUAAUGGUUAACACACUUGGCUGCUAACCAAAAGGUUGGAGAUUUGAACUCACCUAGAGGUA